Long non-coding RNA from Synchiropus splendidus (mandarinfish), 12456 nucleotides. RefSeq lists it as uncharacterized. The transcript is spliced from 4 exons. Lineage: Eukaryota; Metazoa; Chordata; Actinopteri; Syngnathiformes; Callionymidae. The record is from RefSeq and is a predicted model, not a curated record.
CCUCCAGCCAAUUUCGGCACGGCAGCCAAGACGAUAUGAGCAGUUUAAACGCACUGCUCAGAAUGAAGGUUGAUUUAUUCCUGUGGGAUUAACUUUGCUGUAGGAGGCGUUCACCCCCCUCGAGAGAGAUGAACAUCACAACUGGAGCAGACAUGGUUAAGGAUGGAGACGUCGCCAGUAUUAGCCAGUACUACUAUGAACUACAGUAAUGCUGAGUACUUUCUCCACAGACCACAUGAGGUCCAGGAGAUCAACGCUCCAUGCCAAGCUAAGACAGUUAUGCUGUAGUCCUGUUCAAAUCGUGCGAAUGAAGUGCUGAAUCAGUGUGGUACUGAAGACCAGUAUGCAAGGGUUGUGCCAGAGACAUUAGUGAGGCGUGAGGAGCGACGGGGGCUUCAAGGUGAGAGUAGGAUUAUGUCUGGGAUCGGGUUUUAACCCAUUCCUGUUUGCAGUUGUUACGGACAGAAUGACACAACAGGUAAAAGUGGAGAGAGUUAGGCAUGAAAGUCAGAAGAGGCAAUAGUCUGAAAUGGCUCCUCGCUACCUGUCAACUGCACAUAUUCUUCUUCUACUUUAAACUUUAAGCGGAAAAACUAGAGCGCUCACAGUGACACCCUUUUUUAUGAGGGUGAAUCAUUCAUACUGUGGUUUUCUCUCCACUCCAUGUGAAUUUGGGACAGUAUUAUACAAUUGGGCUAAGCCGCUUAAGCGUAGCUAUUGCCUCAGUCGGGCUGCUCUCCGCAUGUGACCAUAGUCACUGUUUGAACACGGAAAGAGGGAAGACAAGGAACACUGAAGAAUGUUGGAAAUGCUGGUGCCUAACAUAAGAAAGGGAGGAUGAUAAGAACAUGAUGAGGGUAGUUGGGGGAGACACAAAGAAUUCAAAAAAAAAAAACUCAGCAAACAGCCAGAUUCUCAACAUUCUAUUUUGAUGCUCAGUAAAUGACACCCAUCUGUCAAGACUUCAACGAGACACCUCCAUAAAAAUCUCACAAACAACAACGACCAGCUGUCAUGUUUUCAUUUUCCCCAAAAUACAAGUGCUUUAAGGUACUUACUCCUCUCAGUCUGGAGACAGGUUUCUACCAGGAAUGACAUAUCAGCCAUUUCACUGAGUGAUGCAGGACAACAGCAUGGGCAACAACCACAGAUGAACCAGCAAUGGUUAGUAGUCACUGUCAAUAAGCAUUAGGGAUUCUUGGUGCCCACAAAUCAGCCAGCGAGGAGGUUCAAAGCUUGCAGCUUCAAAGCUUCAAGAAAAGUCCACCUUGAUAUUGAAAAACAGGAUUUGGAUAUCUGGAUAUUUGUAUCACCUCAAUUGGGAAUCGCAAUACUAAUAUAAAUCUUUUAGUGAAACCGGAUUGUGAUGAAGUGACAAAAUGAAGACCCACAUGAGAGGCGGCCAGUGAUGGGCUGGUUGAGGCUUCACGAAACAAUGUUCUCAUUUUCAGAGCACAAUAGGUGGUGUUCUUGGUUUAAAAAGGACGUGUGGUUCCAAUGGAAUGGUUGUUGUAAUCCAUAUAUUUUAGAGCAGAGAGUGACAUCUAGUGUGCUUUAAAAAAAGAGGACAGUGUUUCAUGAAGCCUCAAAACCCAUCACUACAGCGGCUUCAAGGGUGGAGCAUGUCAAAGAUUCCCAUCAGCGAAUACCAAAGGCUGUGGAACAUGUUGAUAUUGACAAUAAUAUAGGCAGUGUUGGCUCUGACUUUAUUUGAUGAUUGAGCCCCAAGUGAAAUGUAUUCAAUGACUAAGUAAAGUAGAAGAAUUAACUUUUUUUUUUAAGAUUUUAUAAUCUAUUCUUGUCACAUUUAGUUGUCCGUCCAGCCGAUUCAUCGUGACUGUUCAGUGUACUUUCCUCACCACUUGCUAAACCAGUUGCCUUCAAACUUCCCUGAGAGUCUUUCCAAGUUGAGGAACACUCAUAGCAGGUCAGAUGGGUUUGGAUUUGAAACCAGCCAACUGACCAAGGAAUGUAGGACAGUGAAAUCAGCUGUGACCUCUUGAAUCUCACAAAUUCAAAUACCUGAAGUGUCCAGUGACCAAACAGAUAUGCCUUGACACUCUCACUGAGCUCUGCCUGGCUCAGAAGGCUCUGGCCUUUUUCACACUCAGACGCCUCUGGAAUUUUUGCCACAUGAGUGUUCAACAUUCAUAUUGCGGAGGAUUUUUAAUUUACAUCAAUAUUUUGAUAUUUUCGUUAUGUUUUCAUGUUUUGCAUUUUUGAAAUUUUACUCCUUUUUGUUGACAUCUUUCUUUUAUCCACCUUAAAAAAUAUAUAUGUGGAACUUUUGUGCUGCGUCUACUUUCAAAAAUGUCUGCCACUUAUUGAAUAUAUCAUGUCUAUUUUAAUCAAUUACGGUUUUGUAAGAUGACUGAGUCCAAAAGGAGAGACAUAAGAUCUCUUUGGCUUUCAUCAGAAAAAUGUAAAAGGAAGCAUGAACCUCCGUCCAGCUGUGUCACGGCACCUUUACAUGAAUCUUACAAUAAAUCUUUAAUUGAUAGGUUCAUAGCAGCUUGAGGCUUGAUAUAUCAAAGUGUGUGACUUUGGCGACAGCUUACGACUGUUCAAAUAUGUCAUGCGGAUAAUUAAACAGGAGCUCCUGCAGUGAGCUACAACCCACCAGAGACAUUGUUGAAGCCGGCCCUGUCACUUCAUGUCUCUGUUCAACAUUCUUUCAUCCGUUAGACCAGUGGUCCCCAGACCCCAGGCCGGGGACUGCUACCGGUACCAAAACGAGUAGGAAACAGCCGUCUUUGGAAAGUGUCUUUGUGAAGAGACACGACAUCCAUGAAGAAGAACAUUUUUAACGGACAACAGGAGUCGUACUUGAAAUAUGGCUUUAUCGUGGUCGGUGAUUCCCAGGUGCCAAGCCCACAAACAUGCAGAGGCCUUAUCUGACAGUUCAAUGUGGCAACUUCAUACCCCACGGGCCGCGUUCAAAUGGUCGAGCGUAGAUCAGUCCGCGGUGAUAUAAAGGUUGGGGACCACUGCAUUAGACAAUGAAACGCGACGUAUUACAAUAGGACGGUGAAGAAGGUGAGACCAUGACAGUGUCACAGAAAAGGUGGUCGGAAAGUGAGAUUUGAGUUUUAAAUGACCAACAGCAUAACUGGAUCUUACUCUGGCCUUCAAAAGCAUUUUGAACUCUUGAGCCCUCGGAAAAGUUCUGAGCUUGUUGCCUUGAUUCUCACUCCACUCAACUUUCAUACAUUUUAUUUGCAUAUUUGCUGAAACUGUUUGACCUUCCUUGGAGUUGUUGCAGUCGCUUCAGUCAGGGUGAUUUCGCUGACCACAAAAUGCAGUCAAUACUUCAAAUAAAUGUGGCAAAGCCCGUCUGGUAUUUAAACAUGUCAUUUGCUCUAAAUAUCAACAACGCCACCCUGGACUUCCAAGGGAAAAUUCAAUCAUAAAAAGAGACCUUCACUGAAUAGCAAGUUUUGUCACAACACACUCAUAAAAUAUUAAAACCAGUGAAGCCAAAUAGGGCUGACGCUCACAGUUACUUUGAGGUGAGGUGAAAAUAAAUGAGCCGAGUGUAGACACAGCAACACUCAACCAACAGGUCAGCAGAGGUCAGCGAAGCUUCAUGAAACAGGUGCCUUUUUAUUUGUUGGUUUUCAUGGUUGUUCAAAUCCAAUGAGUAUAGAAGGUGCUGUCUCUGAAGGUGAGGACAGUGUUUCAUGAACUAAGAUGGUGUAAAAAGUGCAUUCACAAUUGUUUUUUUGUUCUUAAUAUGGACCACCUGCUAACAGCCCAGCAAACUAAAUACUUCAUGAGGCAGCGUUCAGUUCAGAAAAAUUGAACAAAGCGAAGCAUCACUUUUCAGAUAAAUCUCCUCAGAUGUGCAGUAAUCCCCCUGAACAUCAGAGCAUGGCGAUAGUCUGGGGUGUUCUGAGCCCAGCUAAUAUCUUGUGACCCUGAAUGACAUUUUCACACCCCUUUUGUUUCAGAUUAAAGAGGGUAAUUACUGUAAACCUUCAGGAGCAUGUACGCUGUUCUUAUGUAUUUGUGGAGAUAAGAAACAAAACUGUUGAUUCAGCGCUGGAUUCCGUCAGGUGUUGGUGUGCCACUCUUUCUGCUCACACUUCUCUUGAAUCUUGAAGAGAGACGGACAAGGCAGAAUCUGAAUCUGGCCUCCUUCAUGUCCAGCCUUGUCAGCAUCACUGAGUGGAAGUGCCUCUCAGUGUGGCGUUGCCUUCACUUCCCUCAGUGUUGAGUUGUGUUUGACAGCAGCCUGGAUUCUGUUCCCCCAAAUUCAGCAUCAAGAGCAUCCUUGAAUCUUUUGCAGCUCUGCCGAAGUGUGUGAUGAUAUUUCUGGAAAGAGAUGACUCAGCCAUUUUGGCCUCCAACACUGAGCUUCUCCUGCCAACAGCAGCAAGUUUCCAAAACGUUUUGCUGACCUUUGUGAGAGGUCACCCAGCUGAUUACCAUCAUCAUGGUCUUCCUCUUGAAACUCUAUUGGAUGAAGAGGGUCACACUUCUUGUGUCUGUGGAAUUGUCACUGUAUAACGCUGUCUAUUUUUAAUGAGGCACUCCUCACAAAUUUCCCGAAAUUGCUCCUGUCAGCGGUGAGUGACCUUUUGAAGAGGUCGGUCAGAUGCCAGACUCAGCUGGAUGAUUCCUCUGAGGUCUUCUUCAUGAAGCAGGCUGUGACCCCCUUCAUCUUCUGAGAGCACACACACAUCAACAGUCUCCUAGACUAGUUCAUCCUGGUCCUUCACCAGAAGUGUCUCAGGUCUCAUCUUUUCAUGUCAAUGUUUUCUGUACAUAUUUCCAUCCAUGUCAUCCACUGUUGUGAACUGGUGAAUACGUUGGAUGAAAAACUUGUUUGUUUUUUUUCACGCACUUCAAGGGCUUCAUUUUAAAAGGCCAGUUGCCUUGUUGCCCUGAUUCUCACUCCACUUAACUUUCAUACAUUUUAUUUGCAUAUUUGCUGAAACUGUUUGACCUUUCUCAGAGUUGUUGCAGUCGAUUCAGUCGAAUUCAAAUAACCAGCUCAUUGCACAUGAACAUCCAAUCUGCACGGCAAUGUCUGAAAACUCCAUCACUCAUCUGAUCCCCUGUAACCUGUUCUUAUUCUCAACCAUCACAAAGACGGAAUCAGUCUCAGUAUCUAUACUUUUUCAGAAUCAGAAUCAGAAUCAAAUUUAUUGCCAUGGUCAGGGGUCCACUAACUAGGAAAGUGCUGACAAAAAUGUUUAAAAAAAUUAUAUCAUUUUUUUAAAUAAAAUUAAAUAAAUAGAAUAACAACAAGGCUGUUCACGAAUUCAACAGUCUGACUUGCCGAGGGGAAGAAGCUGUUCCUGUGACGGGAGGUUCUGGUCUGGAUGGACCGUAGCCUCCUGCCAGAGGGAAGAGGAACAAACAGUCCAUGUCCAGGGUGAGAAGGGUCGGCUCUGAUCCGACCUGCACGUCUCUGGGUCCUAGAGGCAUACAGGUCCUGAAGAGGUGGCAGGCUGCCACCGAUCACCUUCUCAGCAGAACGUACAAUGCGCUGCAGUCUGCACUUGUCCCUGGAGGUGGUUCCUAGGUAGCAGAAGGAGUCCACAAUAGGAAUAGGUAAACCAGCCAACAUGAGAGGGGACAUAGAAACUGUUACUCUCCUGAAGUCUAUGACCGUCUCCACUGUCUUCUGGGCGUUGAGCUCCUGGUUGUUGUGGCUGCACCAGGACACCGGCCGCUUCACCUCCCUCCUGUAAGCCGACUCAUCUCCAUCUGAGAUGAGCCCGAUGAUGGUGGUGUCAUCCGUAAACUUGAUCAGCUUUACGGACCCGUGGCUGGAGGUGCAGCAGUUAGUGUACAGAGUGAAGAGCCAUGGAGAGAGAACACAGCUCUGAGGAGUGUCGGAGACAGUCGUCCUGAGCUGCACACGCUGACUCGUGUUGAUCAGGAAGUCUGUAAUCCAUCUACUACCUAGCUGAAGUCUACAAACAGGAUCCUGGCAUAGGUUCCUGGGCAGUCCAGAUGCUCCAGAACGAAAUGAAGGACAAGGUUCACUGCAUAAACAGAGACCACUAGAUGGCACUCUCUGGUCUUUGGAUUUGAACAACCAAAUGAAAUGAAAACGCUCAUCACCAAGAGCGCCACCGACUGUGCUCUGAAAAUGAGGACACUGUUUCAUGAAGCCUCACCAGCCCAUCACUGGCUACUCAUACUGUGUCAUCCAAGAGUUUAUUGUAGUAAAAUAAAUACUAUAUAAAACUAUGACAUUGAAGCUGUGAUUCUCGUGGCACUGCAAGAGUCAGAGUUAGAUUGGUUCAACAAUGAGCAGCGGCAUUUCUGUAGGUGGCGCUCUCCGUUUGAAAACGAUUCUAGGUUUCCGUAAAAUGGUUCAAUGUCAAAGAUUUUGAGCGGAGAGUGCCAUCUAGUGGGCUGUUAAACUGAUGACACUGCUUCAUGAAGCCUCUUCAGCCCACCACUAGUCAUUCACACUUUGGACAGAAAUAUUCCAUAAAAAAGUAAUACCUGUGGAAUUAUUGAAAUCACAGUAAAGACGCACAAAAGUGUGGAUCAACUCGUCUGUUCUGCAGAUAUGUUUACAGAAAACCACCUAAAACAACCUUCGCCACCUUCAGCCACAGAAUGUUUUCAGGAAUGCACAGAUCAAUCUUUCUUCACCAACUUUCUGGUGAGGCAAAGGAUCCGUGAUGAAGGUUUAAAUUGACUUUUCAGCCUCUGAAAGAAUUAUUUUCCUGCAUGAGUCAUCGCUAAUUAGCGAGAGGCAAAACAAAGUGAAGGAUCAGUGGAGGCUACAAAAGGAAGCUGCGCUUCUGUGUGUGGAGAACCGUGACCCUCCGGGCUCCGCCAGCAUCUCCCACCAGAGUUAGAGGCGUUAUCACCAUCUCUUCUUGGAGAGUUUGUUAUUGACCACAGGCAGCUCAGCAGAAGGCUCUUACUUAUUAUCGUCACAGCAGUGGAAGUUCAUGGUCCAACGUACGGCGCUCAGUUUCAUCUUUCUCAAACUUUGUUUGUCCAGCCUGCGUUGGUGUGCAGGGUUUAUUAUGAUGGUGUGUCCGAGAAAGGGAGGCGGAUGAAACGCCUAAAUUGUUGCAGUGAUGAAACGGGGGCUUUGAGUUUGUGUCUAUUUGCGAGCUUUUUCAUGUCUGAGCGGGAGGUAAUUGACUUAUUUGCACAUCUGGGAGAAGCUGUAUAACCACCACAACAAUGACUGAUCCUCUCUUUUACAAGACAGAGCUGGUGGAGCUGCAAUGGACAGAUGUGACCAACGGAUAUGAAUAUUUCAUCAUCAGCACGUACUGUUUGACUGUUCAGACACUGAAGCGUACUUUUACAAUUUCAUUUUUUUAAGCAGAGCACCACAUUUGCUGUAAAACCAAAGGUUUGUUAUUGAAAACAGACUGCUCUUGUAAAAACCAACGUCUCAGACAGACUUCAAUUAAUAAGUUAGACACAUUCAACACGGCCUCACACUUUUCUUAACACAUUACCACAACAAAAAUAUUUAAGAGAACUGCUUUUGAACCUUAGAUUGUAAGGUCCCUGAGUGUGAGAAUGUCUCUUCACAUGCUUUGUAGCAACUAAAAUGUGGAUGGCGUGGUGCAGACAGCAGGGGAUGGGUCUCCAAAAAUGUUUCAAACAGGGUCAGAUAUGACAAGGGGAAUGUGUGGGUGGCCGACUGUUUCCCUUGACAUUUUUUGAACCUCAUAAGAGAACCGCUACUGAACGGCUGAAAUGAAAGUUUCCUUACAAAUAAAACUGUUUCCAUGUACCAGUGUAGCAGAGCUGCAUAAGUCCACACCAAAAUACUUCUGAAGGAAAAAGAGUGGCAGGGGAGGAAGGUGAUAUUUCAUUAGUGCAUAAACAAGGAACAUAAAGAAAAGAAAAGUUUUUCGAGAGAGUUUGUGGCAAUGCAGUUUAAAAUCUGAUCAAGGGUCGCGCACGCCCCCAGAUCUGGACCUGCCUUUGUGCUGGAUUUUGAUGCCUCACAGUAGAUAAAGAAAUCAUUUUAGACGGCACAUUUACAAUGCUAAUACGUCUCCAGAGACGUGCUUCCACCGACCCCCUUUCAUAUCAGGCUUCUUUGUCUCCGGAGCUCCUCUGAUAACACAAUCUUUGAUACCAAACUGGCAACGAUAGUAAAUGUAAACCGCCUGAAUCGUUUACCUUUGUUUCACAAACACUUGAUAGGAAGCAUCUGGCUGAAGCGUCUGCAGCAGCAGUGAUACAGAUAAGACCAACCUGUGGUGCGUCGGAGUCCCCGCAGAUAUGUCGAGGAAUUUAGGUCACAGCAGGUUUGUAUCCUGGCUCGCGGUGCUGAUAACACUUUGCUUCUGUAAAGUUUCUGUACACAUCACUUCAUGUUUUGGACCAGUGUUUAUUGAGGUUGGAGCACACUCUGGACAUCACCUUCAGUCUUGACUGAUAAACGGUAUUCAGCGCCGUCAGGAGGAACCUAACUAGAUGUUGGAGUGAAGACAGAGUAGCUCCACUUCAAGUCUCUGGUGAAUGGCUAAAUACCUGAGGGUCCAACCACCGGCAUCUUCCUCUCGUGAUGAUCCAAAGCUCAUGAGGUCCAAGACAGGGGAAAGUGGCAUUGCUUUUGACACUCUCUUUCACUGCGCCUUCACUUUGUGAAAAUUCAAUCGAUUGAGAAACUAGCAGCAAUGCCUUGCUCCAAAUGUCACAACUCCAGCAGACACAGGCCACAUCACCUGAAGACAUGCCGACCAUCCUCUCGCUCACCAACCGGAAUAUUAGCCACACCCAUGAAAUUUAAGAAGGAAAAUAGAUCUUUUCUUACAUAAGCCGCACCGGUCUAUAUAAGCUGCGGGUGCUGUCUGUGCCACAGAAAAUGCAUAAGGAUCACUAGUGAUCGUCCAAUUCUAGUUUUGAAACCGGGGUCCAGCAUGAUGAGACUGACUCAUGCAACAACCUCGGCAAUGUUCUGAACUUGAAUCAUGAACUCCUCCCAUUUACAUUUAAAGUGUUCAGAAAGCGCUGUUUUCACCCUCCAGUAGUUCGUCUCUGUUGGCAGAGCUGCGGACACGCUGGCGAAAACAGCGCAAUUUGAGCGCUUUAAAGGUAAAUAAAACGCCCGUGAUGUCAUCGGUUUGAUGUGGGGAUGAUGCUCAGCAUUGUUGCCAGCAUGACGCUCUUUAGACUGUAAAAAUGAGGGACGCUCCGAGAGACAGGAAGCAGCUUUUAUGAAAGUUCCCACUCCAGACGUUUGCUAAACUUUCACACACACACAAAACAGCAGCAGAUGUGCUCGAUUCUGUCUUUAAACGACACCUGAGGAGGGCUGGUUAGCGUUCCGAAUGUCACGCUCAGACUUUACGUGACAGACUGAAAAAGACCUCGGCAGUAGACAUGCUGUUGCCAAGUGAUCGGCGAGUCGGCAGGGAGGGAAGGAGGACCGGACGCAUCACAAACCGUGGGCAGUGCUUCAUCAGAGUGCUGGCUGUCACAUGUGAUUGGCAUUGACAGGUGGUGAUCGGCAUUCACAGAUGAUAUCAGACUUUUAUAAUGUGGUUGACCGAUUGGAGCAUCUCUAGCAAAAAUCCAUAUAUUAGCUGCAUCGUUGUAUAAGCCACAGGGUUCAGACCGCGAGACAAAGGUAGCGGCUUCUAGUCCAUAAAAUGCAGCAGCAGGGGUGUGAGCUGCUUGACAAGCGUUUUGGUUAUUCUAGAUCUGACAAUCAAACGUCUGACAAGAAAGGUCUCCUCCAGCCUCUGCUGUUUGCUAAUCCGCCCCGUAAUCCAAAAUGAUGGCCGACGCGACUGAACUAGAAAAGUCUCCUGCUGUCAGAUUGUGAUCUCUGACAGUAAAUCUUCACCAAAGCGCCGGCUAGAAAGAGCCGGAGUCGCUGUGAUCCGCGGAGGAGAACAAAGGGUUCCAGUCAGGGGUUUGGACCGGCCUGGGAUUACUGGGAGAGUAAAGCAGCUGCUGUGUCACUUCCACUUUCAUUAUGUGUCUGCUUAGUCAUCAGAGGUUUAAUCCUGGGAUGAAGGAGCAGCAUCAGGAAAGUGUUUAGCAACACUUAAAAGCCAGAUGGACGCCUCGUGUCUGCAGAGGCCAACCAGGACUGAUGCAGCGCUCGCUUGCUUUUCUUUGGCAUCAAAUCCCAUUGUCAAAUUGUUCCGACUCACUGAUCCUUUUCUCAGUUGUAGCUGAUGGACUGUUCUGACGUAUGCAAUCGUGUCGUCUGAACUUACAGCGGUAUGAAAAAGUAUCUGAACCUUUUGGAAUUUGUCACAUUUCUGCAUAAAAUCACCAACAAAUGUGAUCUGAUCUUUGUCAAAAUCACACAGAUGAAAAAACACAGUGUCUGCUUUAACUAAAACCACCCAAACAUUUAUAGGUUUUCAUAUUGUAAUGAUUAUAGCAUGCAAAACAGACGGGGGAGGAAUAAGUAACUGCACGUCGAUCAGGACUAAUCUUGGCCCAUUCUUCUUUACAAAACUGCUGCAGUUCAGUCAGAUUCCUGGGAUGUGUGGCAUGAAUCGUUGUCUUGAGGUCAUGCCACAGCAUCUCAACGGGGUUCAAGUCUGGACUUGGCCACUCCACAACGUGUAUUUUGUUCUCCUGAAACCAUUCUGAAGUUGAUUUACUUCUGUGUUUUGGAUCAUUGUCUUGUUGCAGCAUCCAUCCUCUUUUUUGCUUCAACUGUCUGACAGACAGCCUCAGGUUUUCCUGCAAAACAUCCAGAUAAACUUUUGAAUUCAUUUUUCCAUUAAUGAUUUUAGGCCCAAACCAUGAUGGUGACGAUGAGGUGUUUAUGUUUAUGGUGAGCUGUUCCAUUUUUCCUCCACACAUGACGUUGUGUGUUCCACUUUGGUUUCAUCAGUCCACAAAAUGUUUUGCCAAAACUUCUGUGGAGUGUCCAAGUGCCUUUUUGCAAACAUUAAAUGAGCAACAAUGUUUUAUUUAGACAGCAGUGGCUUCCUCUGUGGAGUCCUCCCAUGAACACCAUUCUUGGCCAUUGUUUUACAUACAGUUGAUGUGUGCACAGAGACAUUGGACUGUGCCAGUGAUUUCUGUAAGUCUUUAGCAGACACUCCAGGCUUCUUUUUUACCUAUUCUGCGCUGAACUCUUGGCGCCAUCUUUGGUGGACGGCCACUCCUUGGGAGAGAAGCAACAGUGACAGACUCUCUCCAUUUGUAGACAACUUCUCUGACUGUCGAUGGAUGAACAUCCAGACCUUUAGAGAUGGUUUUGUAUCUUUUCCCAGCUUUAUACAAAUAAACAAUUCUCGAUCGCAGGUCUUCAGGCAGCUCUUUUGAGCGAACCAUGGUGCACAUCAGACAAUGCUUCUCAUGAAGACAAUUCUUACCAGGUGUGUGUUUUAUAGUGGGCAGGGCAGCUUUAAGCCACUCAUCAGUCACACACUUGACUUAAAUUGUUUGGUAAAAAUUGGUUUCAAUUGCUCUUUAAGUCUCCUUAGGCAGAGGGUUCAGUUACUUAUUCCUCCCCCUUCUGUCAUUGUUUGCAUGCUACCACUGUAAUUUCCAGAUACCACUGCAAGCCUCGAAUUUAAAAAAAUGAUUGACAGCAUCAGUCAUUCUUAAUCUGAAACGGCUGCCCUUUAUUUAGUUUGGUUUAAUAAGUCACUGAACAUGGACCACUCUGAUCACAGAGGAAAAUAUGGUUUGGAACAGAUAAGAGCUCGCUGAGAUCUUUCCUACACAAACAAAGAGAACAGACAAAAGUACAGAGUACCAUGCAGUAGAAGCAGUAAAACUGCAGGGUUCCAGUUGUGACUGCUUAUCUUCUGGAUACAGCAGAGAGCCAGUUGCACACUGGGACAGAUCUGUUUCACCAUUUGAGUUUUUGAAUAUUAACUUGAUAAACAAUUCAUCAUACACUGUACUCACUUUAAUUCUGUGCAAAAUAAUUGUACCCCGAUGGGAAAGAAAUAUUAUACACACUUCACUGCAUAGUGUACAAGUCCAGUGAAUUUGAUACCACUUCUUCACCUAUUUUCGAGUGGACUUUUGCCUCCAAUGGUGACAGAGAAGUCACAUAGGUUCAAAUAGAGUAAAAUGUUGCGUAACAUUCCAAGAGAGUGGUUGAAGUAAGGCCAAAACAUUGGAUGUUUCAUAUUUUAAACUACUCAGAGUAGCCACUGUUUUCUUGGUUGGCAGCGCUGCAAAUGCGUGGCCUUCUUAUUGACCUUCAUGAUGUAGUGUUUUGGCAAAACAUUUGGCUGUUUUGAAGAAUCUAAAAUAUUAAACAUAAAUAAAAUGUUUUGAGUGUUUUCUAGAUACUUUUAUGUCUUCAUUCAUAAUUUUGAUGCUUUUCAGUGAGAAUCUACAAUGUAUUUACACUGUCAUAAAAAUAAAGAAAAUUGAAUUCAAAGACUUUGACUUGCUUUUAACUUUGAAACAUAAACAAGCUGAAGGGCACAUUCAGUGCCAAUGUGAGUCACAGUCCUAAGAUUAGGUUCAUCAGAUCCACGACCAACACGAUUUGCAUGACUUCAACUCAUCGUCGUG